RNAcentral lists this ribosomal RNA (301 nucleotides) under uncultured bacterium. RNAcentral's name for it is "partial 16S ribosomal RNA". It matches the Rfam family "Bacterial small subunit ribosomal RNA", at positions 509 to 807 of the family's 1533-position model. The record is from RNAcentral.
CAGCAGCCGCGGUAAUACGUAGGUGGCAAGCGUUGUCCGGAAUUAUUGGGCGUAAAGGGCUCGCAGGCGGCUUCUUAAGUCUGAUGUGAAAGCCCCCGGCUCAACCGGGGAGGGUCAUUGGAAACUGGGAAACUUGAGUGCAGAAGAGGAGAGUGGAAUUCCACGUGUAGCGGUGGAAUGCGUAGAGAUGUGGAGGAACACCAGUGGCGAAGGCGACUCUCUGGUCUGUAACUGACGCUGAGGAGCGAAAGCGUGGGGAGCGAACAGGAUUAGAGACCCCCGUAGUCCCUGUCUCUUAUAC